UGCAUCGUAAUGUAAAUGGGGGCAGCAGGAAGGUCAAACUGACUGCCAUAAAAGUAGCCUCGCCCAAUUUCUGCAACUUGAGCUUGCAGCCUUCUAACACAGGCUCCGCUGAAACCUCCCAACUUCUGGGUUUAAGUUUUCCAACGACUAAAAAAAAAACCCAAGGGAAAGGAGGGAUGAUGUGCUGAGCCUUCCCGUGUGUCCUGGGGUCCUGUAUACCCCUAAAUUCCUCUCCCUCUGUGGUUUGAAUGGGAGAGGAAAGGCACGAAAAGACCUGUUUCUCCCCCACCUCGCCCUGCAGGCGUUAAGGGGGUGAGCAAGGGGCUCUUCUGGCACUAGGGGUGCCCGUGCAGUGCCCGCGCUGGAAUCGGGCUGGGAUUGGCUGUGGUCUUCGCGCCCAGGCAGUGCUAACUCUGCUCUUUGUCUAGGGAGGGUAUAAAUAUUGGGGGACUUCCUGCCUUGGGGUUCCCACCUUACAGUUCUCCCUGCCUGAGCGUUGGUGCCUGCCUGAGACUUCUCCCCCCCGCCUGGAUAGAUGCUGCAGAAGGAGCCCCUGGCACUCUGCUCCGAAGGACGGCUUCACCCAUUAGCACCCUUUAUGCAGGCUCAAUAGCCCUUAACGAUGCUCUGGUGGCUUCUGAAAGAGAACCGGAGAGGACAAGCAGCUGGACCGCCCUUCUUUCAACCAGCCUGGCUCGCCCGAAAGUGCUAAGAGGCUGCUGUGCUUUCACCAACUCCUCUCCUUGCCACAAGAAGUCAUCACCUAACUCAGACGAUUGGUGUCCCUCUGUGGGCAGUACCUGCCUUCCCCUGGCACCACCAGCAGCAGGAGAUGCUGUGCUAGGGGAUGUCCAAGGGAUGAGCAGAGAGGUGCCCAGCACUCAUUCUCCCAAGGCAUGCCAAGUCUUGGCACCUUGGGGGCAUUUCUCAGCUGUGGCUGAGCCCAGACCUGCAGAAGUAUGGAGUGUCACCUGGAUGAGCUUGGCCACCUCCUUUCAGGCUUCAACAAGGACACAUGCCAGGGAGCCCACGGGGACAAGCAGCUGAUAGCAUGCAUGAAGAAACCUCUCAGUGGAAACAUUGCUCUCCAGAGAACCACUUCUUCAGCAGCAGUUGUGAGACUCAGAGCCAUUUUUUCCCCUUCCAUUUAAGGAGACACCAAUAAAAACAAGCACAAAACGACGCCGUGGUUCCAUUUUUCAGCUUA
Molecule: long non-coding RNA, 1207 nt
Organism: Pogoniulus pusillus (Red-fronted tinkerbird)
Lineage: Eukaryota; Metazoa; Chordata; Aves; Piciformes; Lybiidae
Exons: 2
Source: RefSeq, a predicted model, not a curated record